AGUAGAUAAUCAACAUUAAAUUAAGACGAUGGAGAGUUAUUGGAGAACAUAGCUAAAGUAGCAAUGACUUGAAGGAAAUGGAAAAUGUAUCGCCGCUAGUGGCGCCCCGAAAAAGCAUAUGUAGCACGUGUUCCCUGGGAGUGUGAGAAUGGAGUUCCCACGUGUAGAGGCCCAUCUUCAGAGUUGUUCCCGUACCUAAGUUGCGGUUGAAGACCACAAGACUUCGGUGGAGAAUAUUCUAUCAAUGAAUGUGAAAAGAAAUUGAACUAAAUUUUACGCUUCUUGGUCCUUGAAGAGCAAUCGAAUUUUUCUGCGUUCCAUGAGGUGACUAGAACAUUGUGCUCGGUCUUGCGAAUAAUAAUGGCACUGAGGAAAACAAAAGGCAGACGGAAAAAAAUACCCGAAAUUUCUUUAGACCAGUAAAACAAGUUUUUGCAAAUAGGCGGACAACCCGGUUAUUCCAGUCUCUUCAUCGCCGUAGACUAAACAUUUAUGUACAAUGUGAACUUGAAUAAAUAAAUGCAAUUUUUUAUUUA
This is a long non-coding RNA of Drosophila grimshawi, 536 nucleotides long. RefSeq lists it as uncharacterized. The record is from RefSeq and is a predicted model, not a curated record. The transcript has 8 exons. Lineage: Eukaryota; Metazoa; Arthropoda; Insecta; Diptera; Drosophilidae.